GACGUAGGGGACGAGCGUUGUCCGGAUUCAUUGGGCGUAAAGAGCGCGUAGGCGGUCCGGUAAGUCGGUUGUGAAAACUGGGGGCUCAACCCUCAGAGACCGACCGAUACUGUCGGGCUAGAGUCCGGAAGAGGCGAGUGGAAUUCCUGGUGUAGCGGUGAAAUGCGCAGAUAUCAGGAGGAACACCAAUGGCGAAGGCAGCUCGCUGGGACGGUACUGACGCUGAGGCGCGAAAGCGUGGGGAGCAAACAGG
Molecule: ribosomal RNA, 253 nt
Filed under: uncultured bacterium
Lineage: Bacteria
Description: partial 16S ribosomal RNA
Rfam family: Bacterial small subunit ribosomal RNA
Source: RNAcentral